This 568-nucleotide ribosomal RNA is filed under the name uncultured bacterium. RNAcentral's name for it is "bacterial SSU rRNA". It matches the Rfam family "Bacterial small subunit ribosomal RNA", at positions 338 to 916 of the family's 1533-position model. The record is from RNAcentral.
CCUACGGGAGGCAGCAGUGGGGAAUAUUGCACAAUGGGCGAAAGCCUGAUGCAGCGACGCCGCGUGAGGGAUGACGGCCUUCGGGUUGUAAACCUCUUUCAGCAGGGAAGAAGCGAAAAUGACGGUACCUGCAGAAGAAGCGCCGGCUAACUACGUGCCAGCAGCCGCGGUAAUACGUAGGGCGCAAGCGUUGUCCGGAAUUAUUGGGCGUAAAGAGCUCGUAGGCGGCUUGUCACGUCGGUUGUGAAAGCCCGGGGCUUAACCCCGGGUCUGCAGUCGAUACGGGCAGGCUAGAGUGUGGUAGGGGAGAUCGGAAUUCCUGGUGUAGCGGUGAAAUGCGCAGAUAUCAGGAGGAACACCGGUGGCGAAGGCGGAUCUCUGGGCCAUUACUGACGCUGAGGAGCGAAAGCGUGGGGAGCGAACAGGAUUAGAUACCCUGGUAGUCCACGCCGUAAACGGUGGGAACUAGGUGUUGGCGACAUUCCACGUCGUCGGUGCCGCAGCUAACGCAUUAAGUUCCCCGCCUGGGGAGUACGGCCGCAAGGCUAAAACUCAAAGGAAUUGACGG